This 1478-nucleotide ribosomal RNA is filed under the name uncultured bacterium. RNAcentral describes it as "bacterial SSU rRNA". It matches the Rfam family "Bacterial small subunit ribosomal RNA". The record is from RNAcentral.
AGAGUUUGAUCCUGGCUCAGAUUGAACGCUGGCGGCAUGCUUUACACAUGCAAGUCGAACGGCAGCACGGGGGCAACCCUGGUGGCGAGUGGCGAACGGGUGAGUAAUGCAUCGGAACGCGUCCUGUAAUGGGGGAUAACCUAGCGAAAGUUAGGCUAAUACCGCAUACGUCCUGAGGGAGAAAGCGGGGGAUCGUAAGACCUCGUGUUAUAGGAGCGGCCGAUGUCGGAUUAGAUAGUUGGCGGGGUAACGGCCCACCAAGUCUACGAUGGAUAGGGGUUCUGAGAGGAAGGUCCCCCACAUUGGAACUGAGACACGGUCCAAACUCCUACGGGAGGCAGCAGUGAGGAAUAUUGGUCAAUGGACGCGAGUCUGAACCAGCCAAGUAGCGUGAAGGAUGACUGCCCUAUGGGUUGUAAACUUCUUUUAUAAGGGAAUAAAGUGAGGGACGUGUCCCUUUUUGUAUGUACCUUAUGAAUAAGGAUCGGCUAACUCCGUGCCAGCAGCCGCGGUAAUACGGAGGAUCCAAGCGUUAUCCGGAUUUAUUGGGUUUAAAGGGAGCGUAGGUUGACAUAUAAGUCAGCUGUGAAAGUUUACGGCUCAACCGUGAAAUUGCAGUUGAUACUGUAUGUCUUGAGUGUACAAGAGGUGGGCGGAAUUCGUGGUGUAGCGGUGAAAUGCUUAGAUAUCACGAAGAACUCCAAUUGCGAAGGCAGCUCACUGGGGUACAACUGACACUGAGGCUCGAAAGUGUGGGUAUCAAACAGGAUUAGAUACCCUGGUAGUCCACACAGUAAACGAUGAAUACUCGCUGUUUGCGAUAUACAGUAAGCGGCCAAGCGAAAGCAUUAAGUAUUCCACCUGGGGAGUACGCCGGCAACGGUGAAACUCAAAGGAAUUGACGGGGGCCCGCACAAGCGGAGGAACAUGUGGUUUAAUUCGAUGAUACGCGAGGAACCUUACCCGGGCUUGAAUUGCAGAGGAACAUAGUUGAAAGAUUAUGGCCGCAAGGUCUCUGUGAAGGUGCUGCAUGGUUGUCGUCAGCUCGUGCCGUGAGGUGUCGGCUUAAGUGCCAUAACGAGCGCAACCCUUAUCAUUAGUUACUAACAGGUCAUGCUGAGGACUCUAGUGAGACUGCCGUCGUAAGAUGUGAGGAAGGUGGGGAUGACGUCAAAUCAGCACGGCCCUUACGUCCGGGGCUACACACGUGUUACAAUGGGGGGUACAGAGGGCAGCUACCGGGCGACCGGAUGCCAAUCCCAAAAACCUCUCUCAGUUCGGAUCGAAGUCUGCAACCCGACUUCGUGAAGCUGGAUUCGCUAGUAAUCGCGCAUCAGCCACGGCGCGGUGAAUACGUUCCCGGGCCUUGUACACACCGCCCGUCAAGCCAUGGGAGCCGGGGGUACCUGAAGUACGUAACCGCAAGGAGCGUCCUAGGGUAAAACUGGUGACUGGGGCUAAGUCGUAACAAGGUAACC